AGAGUUUUGCUUUUGAAGGGUUUGAUCAAGGCAGAUGUCCCUCUAUCCACAGCCUUGAAUAGUAGUAAAAAGAACUUCUUGAAAAGGUUUGUGAUCAAGUAUCAGGAUCAGGUGCCUCAAUUAUUGGAUAUCUUUCAAGGAAAAAUGGAGCUUAAAGAACUUGGAUUUGGUUUUGAUGAUAAAUCUGUAAUUCUGGAUUAGGA
RNAcentral lists this unclassified non-coding RNA (203 nucleotides) under Hevea brasiliensis (rubber tree). The record is from RNAcentral. Lineage: Eukaryota; Viridiplantae; Streptophyta; Magnoliopsida; Malpighiales; Euphorbiaceae.